Molecule: ribosomal RNA, 301 nt
Filed under: uncultured bacterium
Lineage: Bacteria
Description: partial 16S ribosomal RNA
Rfam family: Bacterial small subunit ribosomal RNA
Source: RNAcentral
CAGCCGCCGCGGUAAUACGGAGGGUGCAAGCGUUGUCCGGAUUUAUUGGGUUUAAAGGGUGCGUAGGCGGCUAUUUAAGUCAGCGGUGAAAGACUCCGGCUCAACCGGAGCAGUGCCAUUGAUACUGGAUAGCUUGAGUGUUGGAGGGGUACAUGGAAUUGAUGGUGUAGCGGUGAAAUGCAUAGAUACCAUCAGGAACACCGAUAGCGAAGGCAUUGUACUGGCCAACAACUGACGCUGAGGCACGAAAGCAUGGGGAGCGAACAGGAUUAGAUACCCCAGUAGUCCCUGUCUCUUAUAC